GACGAACGCUGGCGGCGUGCUUAACACAUGCAAGUCGAACGGAAAGGCCUCUUUCGGGGGGUACUCGAGUGGCGAACGGGUGAGUAACACGGGAGUAACCUGCCCUUGACUUUGGGAUAACUUCAGGAAACUGGGGCUAAUACCGGAUAGGAGCUCCUGCUGCAUGGGGGGGGUUGGAAAGUGUCGGCGGGUGGGGAUGGACUCGCGGCUUAUCAGCUUGUUGGUGGGGUAGUGGCUUACCAAGGCUUUGACGGGUAGCCGGCCUGUGAGGGUGACCGGCCACAUUGGGACUGAGACACGGCCCAGACUCCUACGGGAGGCAGCAGGGGGGAAUAUUGCACAAUGGGUGGAAGCCUGAUGCAGCAACGCCGGGUGCGGGAUGACGGCCUUCGGGUUGUAAACCGCUUUCGCUCAUGACGAAGCUUUGUGUGACGGUAGUGGGUAAAGAAGCACCGGCUAACUACGUG
Molecule: ribosomal RNA, 467 nt
Filed under: uncultured bacterium
Lineage: Bacteria
Description: partial 16S ribosomal RNA
Rfam family: Bacterial small subunit ribosomal RNA
Source: RNAcentral